This 405-nucleotide ribosomal RNA is filed under the name Triticum aestivum (bread wheat). Its description in RNAcentral is "partial small subunit ribosomal RNA". Lineage: Eukaryota; Viridiplantae; Streptophyta; Magnoliopsida; Poales; Poaceae. The record is from RNAcentral.
AUGGAUGGCGGCAGUUCUGCGGAUGGAGACGGCGCCGCGGACGACGGCCAUGGCGCGGCUGCGGACGUGCUUGCCGAUGGCGCCGGCGGGGCUGAGGUCAGGUCAAUCCAGGGCGUCGUGCUAGCAUCGGGCUGCGGUGGGGUUGAGCCAGCAUCAGGCCAGGCCGGAGACUCGGCUACAGCUGGCUCGGGCCUGGCCAAUGGCUCGGCUGCAGCUGGCUCGGUCCAGGGCGCGGCAAUGGCUGGGGUCUUCGGCAAGGGCACGGCUGGGUCGUUCCUGGCAGCAGCUUCAGGCCAGGGCAGUACUCAGUUGCCUCCAGCAACAUGGUCGUGUCCAGAUGGGAUGGAUCCAAAUUCGAGUUAUUUGCUCAAAAUUAAAUUGUUUGGCAAUCCAAAGAAAGCUUGA